Non-coding RNA from Sesamum indicum (sesame), 627 nucleotides. The record is from RefSeq and is a predicted model, not a curated record. NCBI's taxonomy places the organism in Eukaryota, Viridiplantae, Streptophyta, Magnoliopsida, Lamiales, Pedaliaceae.
UUUCAAUCAUAUAUAUAUAUAUAUAUUGCUAUAUGGGCUUAACAUUUAUUACACCUCAUGAAUGAAGAUUGAAAUGAUCCCGGGAAUUAUAUUAUCAUUAAAUAUCACAUGCGUUCUAUGUUCAGAUUGAAGGAGGUGCUGCAGAAGGUGGUAGAGGCCUUAGUGUCUGGGACGUUUUCACUUUGAGGACUCCAGGCAAUAUUUUGGAUGGAUCCAAUGGGAAUGUAGCCGUCGAUAUGUACACGAAAUAUAAGGAAGAUAUUAAGAUGAUGAAGAGAAUGGGGUUGAUGCUUACAGAUUUUCGAUAUCUUGGCCAAGAAUAUUGCCGGGUGGAAAACUUUGCCUUGCUAUCAAUAGAGAAGGAAUCGACUUCUACAAUGAUAUAUCAACACUCGCAAAGAUUUUGAAAUGGAGCCCUAUGUGACUCUCUUUCACUGGGAUACUCCUUAUGCUUUGGAACAAGAGUAUGGUGGCUUCUUAAGUCAAGACAUUGUGUAAGCACUUCAGUUUCAAUUUGUCUCACUUCAUCUACUCAACUUCUUGUAUAAUUGUAAAUAUAAUUUGUCUACUCAAUUUGUCUCAAUUUGUCUACUCAACUUCUUGUAUAACUUCAUCUACUCAAUUUGU